GGGCGGGUGGUCUAGUGGUAUGACGCCCAGACACUGGUUCGGGAGACCCAGGUUCGAAUCCUGGCCCGCCCA
Molecule: transfer RNA, 72 nt
Filed under: Verticillium dahliae VdLs.17
Lineage: Eukaryota; Fungi; Ascomycota; Sordariomycetes; Glomerellales; Plectosphaerellaceae
Also listed under: 4 other names
Description: tRNA-Gln (CTG) (tRNA-Gln-CTG-2-1)
Rfam family: tRNA
About the family: Transfer RNA (tRNA) molecules are approximately 80 nucleotides in length. Their secondary structure includes four short double-helical elements and three loops (D, anti-codon, and T loops).
Source: RNAcentral